Molecule: transfer RNA, 63 nt
Filed under: Pseudocellus pearsei
Lineage: Eukaryota; Metazoa; Arthropoda; Arachnida; Ricinulei; Ricinoididae
Description: tRNA-Gly
Source: RNAcentral
UCUUCUUUAGGUAUAAAAAGUACAAAUAACUUCCAAUUAUUAAGUUUCAUAAUAAAAGAAGAA